UGUUUGUUUGUUUCUUUGGUUUUGGGUUUUUUUCCUUAUUUACAGAAUAGGUUUAUUUUUAUUUUUUUUAACAUACCCAGCUGGAACUAGGAACGCUGCUUUAGGAGCCUCAUUAGGCAUUCCCUUUAGCAGCAUACAAUAGGCUCUCACACCUGGCCUGUCUCUGCAGUAUUGCCCAAGGUGGAUGCAGGAGUUGUUACCAUCAGAAUGCUGUCAAAGCAGAGAGUCUCCACAUGCAGCAGACUGAGAGGCUUUUAUUUUUCAGUUCAGUUGAACAGAUUACCUCUUGGUCAGAAGAUAAAGAGGUCUGGCUCCACAGGUAAUACAGUCUAAGUGCUUGACCAUGUUUGAAGAAGUUUUACUGAAGGCAUUGGAAUCACAGGAAAGGCGGAAAAAGGGAAAAGAAUUAGUUGCCUAGGGAAACUAUUCUGUACACCUAGAUGUAAAUGUUCUUUCCUGGUACACUCAUUUUUUUGUUUACUGGACAGUCUUCCAAAAUUAUUGUUAGUACCAAGAGAAAAAUGAAGUAACAUUUCAACUGCUAAUUUCACAAGCUGCUUCAGCACUUUUACCUUGUCAAAAAAGAUUUUAGUGUGCCAGCACAACUGAUGUUUACAUCAGAAAAAAUACUUUAAAAAAAUUGUAAAUUUUUAGUUUUGUGUUUCAGAGCUGAAUCUUCUUUGGGAAGUUUUUUUUUAGAAUUUAGAUAGUCCCAUAUUUUUGAAAAGGAUUACUUGUCUCAAGAAAAAAGAAUUCAUAAGAAAUGCUUUCUUCAUAAUAUAUGCAUUUGGACUAUGGCUUCUCCAGUUAGAGAAACCCACAGGACAAACACAUCCAUUACUGUCCUUGCAAAGUGACAGUGGGAAGACAAAGAUGUAGCAUCCAUUGUAAAGUCCAAAACACAAUGACCUGCAAGAACAUUUUCUACUGUUGGUACUUAGGAACAACCAUCACACUCAUGACAACACAAUUAUUCAUAUGUAUGCACACAAACCAAGGAAAAAUCUGCAGAGUCUGUACAGAAAAAACAUACAUUAACUUCAUAUCAGAGGAGGGGUGGACUAAAUAGUAGCUAAAUGUAUGCUGGAGACCAAACUCUUCUAAACAUAGAGGAGUAGAUUAGAUCCAUCCUCUAAAGCAUAUCUGAAAAAUCCUCCUCUUUGAUCUAUUGGAUACAAUUCUAUAGCUUAUCAUGGCAAUUAAAUCAUUUUGAAUUGAACUGAAUUGAGGAAUGAAUGAAUCAUUGGUUGCAAGCCAGCUCUCAGUGUGCAGGUGUCCACUUCAAAUAAAACCUCAUUACAAUGUUUUGGCAUCAAUUCAUGUUCUCUUGUACGAGUAUAACCUGCCAACAGAAACCAGCUUAUUUUCUCCAGGAUUUUGGUUUUAGUUGAGGAGAUUAAAACAAAUAUAUAUAUAAAAACAAAUCUGCUUCAAGCCACAAAGGUAUUGUUGCUUUCAAUAUGAUCUGACUCACAUUCCACUGAAAUCAGUUGGGCCCUUCUAUU
Molecule: long non-coding RNA, 1505 nt
Organism: Passer domesticus (house sparrow)
Lineage: Eukaryota; Metazoa; Chordata; Aves; Passeriformes; Passeridae
Exons: 3
Source: RefSeq, a predicted model, not a curated record